UACGAGUGCCUCAAGCGUUAUCCGGAAUUAUUGGGCGUAAAGGGUGUGUAGGCGGUAUGGUUAGUCUUUUGUUAAAACUCCCGGCUCAACUGGGAAUAUGCAAAGGAAACGGCCAUUCUAGAGGAUGCGAGAGGUGAACAGAACUCAUAGUGUAGGGGUGAAAUCCGUUGAUAUUAUGGGGAAUACCAAAUGCGAAGGCAGUUCACUGGCGCACUCCUGACGCUGAAACACGAAAGCGUGGGUAGCGAAUGGG
This 253-nucleotide unclassified non-coding RNA is filed under the name uncultured Parcubacteria group bacterium. RNAcentral describes it as "contains 16S-23S intergenic spacer region". It matches the Rfam family "Bacterial small subunit ribosomal RNA", at positions 524 to 776 of the family's 1533-position model. The record is from RNAcentral.